Molecule: small RNA, 29 nt
Filed under: Bombyx mori (domestic silkworm)
Lineage: Eukaryota; Metazoa; Arthropoda; Insecta; Lepidoptera; Bombycidae
Description: ovarian small RNA-30636
Source: RNAcentral
UGAAAUUUCGGUGUUGUCUACAGUAUUGU